UGGCCUCAGAUCGGGUGGGACUACCCGCUGAACUUAAGCAUAUCAAUAAGCGGAGGAAAAGAAACUAACAAGGAUUCCCCUAGUAANGGCGAGUGAAGAGGGAAAAGCUCAAAUUUUGAAUCUGGUGUCUUUGGCAUCCGAGUUGUAAUCUAGAGAAGUGUUUUCUGCCUUGGACCACACAUAAAUUCCCUGGAAUGGGGUGUCAUAGAGGGUGAGAAUCCCGUUUGUGGUGUGGACUACCUUGGCUCUGUGAUACACUCUCAACGAGUCGAGUUGUUUGGGAAUGCAGCUCAAAAUGGGUGGUAAAUUCCAUCUAAAGCUAAAUACUGGCGAGAGACCGAUAGCGAACAAGUACCGUGAGGGAAAGAUGAAAAGCACUUUGGAAAGAGAGUGAAACAGUACGUGAAAUUGUUGAAAGGGAAGCGUUUGAAGUCAGUCACAUUGGUCGGAAUUCAGCCUGGCUUCUGCCUGGUUCACUUUCUGGCAAAUGGGUCAGCAUCAAUUUUGAUUGAGGGAGAAAGACUUGAGGAAUGUGGCUGUCUUC
RNAcentral lists this ribosomal RNA (544 nucleotides) under uncultured Sebacinales. Its description in RNAcentral is "eukaryotic LSU rRNA". It matches the Rfam family "Eukaryotic large subunit ribosomal RNA", at positions 1 to 547 of the family's 3401-position model. Lineage: Eukaryota; Fungi; Basidiomycota; Agaricomycetes; Sebacinales. The record is from RNAcentral.